Molecule: ribosomal RNA, 253 nt
Filed under: uncultured bacterium
Lineage: Bacteria
Description: partial 16S ribosomal RNA
Rfam family: Bacterial small subunit ribosomal RNA
Source: RNAcentral
UACGGAGGAUGCAAGCGUUAUCCGGAAUGAUUGGGAGUAAAGGGUUCGUAGGUGGCAAUGUAAGUAUGAUGUUAAAGAGUCUAGCUCAACUAGAUAAGAGCAGUGGAAACUACAUAGCUAGAGUACGUUCGGGGCAGAGGGAAUUCCUGGUGUAGCGGUGAAAUGCGUAGAGAUCAGGAAGAACACCGGUGGCGAAGGCGCUCUGCUAGGCCGUAACUGACACUGAGGGACGAAAGCUAGGGGAGCGAAUGGG